RNAcentral lists this ribosomal RNA (497 nucleotides) under uncultured bacterium. Its description in RNAcentral is "partial 16S ribosomal RNA". It matches the Rfam family "Bacterial small subunit ribosomal RNA", at positions 28 to 507 of the family's 1533-position model. The record is from RNAcentral.
GACGAACGCUGGCGGCGUGCCUAAUACAUGCAAGUUGAGCGCUGACGGUUGGUACUUGUCCCCACUGGAUGAGCAGCGAACGGGUGAGUAACGCGUGGGGAAUCUGCCUUUGAGCGGGGGACAACAUUUGGAAACGAAUGCUAAUACCGCAUAAAAACUUUAAACACAAGUUUUAAGUUUGAAAGAUGCAAUUGCAUCACUCAAAGAUGAUCCCGCGUUUUAUUAGCUAGUUGGUGAGGUAAAGGCUCACCAAGGCGAUGAUACAUAGCCGACCUGAGAGGGUGAUCCGCCACAUUGGGAAUGAGACAAGGCCCAAACUCCUACGGGAAGCAGCAGUAGGGAAUCAUCGGACAUGGACGGAAGUCUUACCGAGCAACGCCGCGGGAGUGAAGAAAGUCUUCGGAUCGUAAAACUCUGUUGGUAGAGAAGAACGUUGGUGAGAGUGGAAAGCUCAUCAAGUGACGGUAACUACCCAGAAAGGGACGGCUAACUACGUG